CAGUCGCCGCGGGAAUACAGAGGGUGCAAGCGUUAAUCGGAAUUACUGGGCGUAAAGCGCGCGUAGGUGGUUUGUUAAGUUGGAUGUGAAAGCCCCGGGCUCAACCUGGGAACUGCAUUCAAAACUGGCAAGCUAGAGUACGGUAGAGGGUGGUGGAAUUUCCUGUGUAGCGGUGAAAUGCGUAGAUAUAGGAAGGAACACCAGUGGCGAAGGCGACCACCUGGACUGAUACUGACACUGAGGUGCGAAAGCGUGGGGAGCAAACAGGAUUAGAGACCCCCGUAGUCCCUGUCUCUUAUAC
This 301-nucleotide ribosomal RNA is filed under the name uncultured bacterium. RNAcentral describes it as "partial 16S ribosomal RNA". It matches the Rfam family "Bacterial small subunit ribosomal RNA", at positions 509 to 807 of the family's 1533-position model. The record is from RNAcentral.